AGAAUGAGAUUGAACCUGGAACAACCUUAGUUGGGAAUCUGGCUUGUACUCGCCAUGGCGAGCAAAUGCUCUCGCCUCGCGAGCACAUCCAGAAUUGAGUGUUUUAGUGCAUUGUGAGACUUGAGUUGCUUGGAUUGGUUAGAAAUGAACUUUAGGUACAUAGUGUGACCUAUUAAAGAUAAUGAUUGUGAAUUGUGAAGCUAUAUUGAAAUGCUAAGUGUUUAUAAUGUGAUUUAUUGAUUGAUUGCAUUACUUGAAUUAUUAUUGAAUGAUCAGGAAGUUGUUGAAAAUGAAUUGAUAUUAAGCUGUUGAUAUGAUCUGAUUAUGCUGCCAUUGUUAUUAAACUAAGUUGCAUGAGUUGUUGUUGAUUAUCAUUUGAUAUUGUUAUAUCCUGAGAUGUUUAUGUGUCGCCUAUGUUGCUGUUGUUGGUUAUGUGAAAUAUUUAUAUGCCUUAUGUGGAAGAUGUUUGAUGUUUAAGUUGUUGAUACUUCAUAAUAAUAUUGUUAUGUUGUGAAUUGCUUGUGCUGUUUCUGUUGCUGUUAUGAACUGCUAAGUUGUUUGUAAUGUGAUUUAAUGAUUAAAUGCAUUACUCGAAAUAUUAUUGAAUGAUCAAGAUGUUGUUGAAAUGAAUUGUUAAAUGAUUAAGAAGUGAAUUAUGGAUUGAAUUAUAC
Molecule: long non-coding RNA, 671 nt
Filed under: Medicago truncatula (barrel medic)
Lineage: Eukaryota; Viridiplantae; Streptophyta; Magnoliopsida; Fabales; Fabaceae
Description: long non-coding RNA (MTRU_LNC002380)
Source: RNAcentral